Molecule: long non-coding RNA, 2577 nt
Organism: Asparagus officinalis (garden asparagus)
Lineage: Eukaryota; Viridiplantae; Streptophyta; Magnoliopsida; Asparagales; Asparagaceae
Exons: 7
Source: RefSeq, a predicted model, not a curated record
CAAAAUACAACCCUCUCCGACAUAAAUCCAGGCCCUCCCACCAGACAGCGAUCUCUCCCUCUCCCACAUAAAUCCAGGCCCUAAUCUCUCUCCCAUUCCAAUGCCAACCCUAGACUCGAUCUCAAACGGAAACAAUCUCUCCUAUUCUCCAAACCUUCUCAUCGCCAUUUGCCUCUCAAACUCCAAUUCCCUCCUGAUCUCCUCCUCCAUCAUUCUAUUCUGAGCGAUCUCUCUCUCGCAAGGAUCUCCUCUCUCAUCCGAUCCCGCCGGACCUCCUCCAUCAGGACUUCUGCUCUUGACGUCAUCACCGGCGGGGCGAAGCCGGAGCUCCAGAUGCCGAUUCCGCCCGAGAUCAGGAACCAAAUCAAACUUUGAAGGAAAAAAAAAAUCUAAAAUUAGGGUUUUUGUUGGGUACCUGGAAGAGCCUGCUCAGCCCUAAAGGAUCUAAAAGAAAUCAAACUAAUUCUUCACCUCUUCUCAUAGCACCGUCGAGCUCCAAUCCUCGAGCCCUAAAAGCCUAUCUCUCUCUUCCCCGCAAAAGACCUCUCCAGAGUUCUCAGCUCAUCAGCUGAGGUAAAGCUUAUGACUUCAAGGCUGUUAAAAGGUGGACUACCCAGAGAAAGAUAGGGUACGACCUUAUUGAAUGUGACAAAGUAAAGAAGUUGUAACCCUUUGCGCACACCACAAACAGUAAAAAAAUAGGCUUUUGACUCCAAAGACCUCGAAGACAAAGACGACAAGGGGUCAUUAAUGCAGUAAGAUGAGAAUUAUUGUUCACAAUCUCUCAAGGAUAUCCCAUUUAUGUGAUCAUGUCAUCUAAGAAUGCGCCUUCAAGGAUCAACAGGUGAUGGAGAAGGUCGUUAAGAAGAUCUCGGACUAGGAAAUUUCCUCGCCUAAAUAAUUCAAUACCCCUUUUAAACCUGCAAUAGUUCUAUUUCAGGUUUUACUCCUAUUCCUCUUCUUUUUUCCUGGCUUUGUUUCUUUUUUUCCCCUAAUGAUAAAUAUACGAUAUUAUAAUGUUUGUCUUUGAGGCACGAUAUAGUUAUAAGAGGUUAGUUUGCAUUAUUUUGUUUGCUGAAGUAAAAUAUGCAUCAAGAGAGAACUCCUCCAUAAAAAUACAUGAUUGAUUGUCACUAUUACCCUAAAUUAGACAUUUAUUGUGAAAAAGAAAGAAAAUUUCCCAAAUAAACCUUUAUUACCCUAAAUUACUCCCUCAAUAUUCUAUUUCUCUCCUAACUCACACAAGAAAGCAACUCUCUUUAUGGGGCAACCUCUUUUCUCUUUUUUGCACUUCACCCAUUCUAAAGUGUUUUUAAUGAUAACAAUAUUGAUUUCCUAUCUAAAUUUGCAUUAUGUUGUUCUUUGAAUUUUCUAUUUGAGUUCAAUAUUGUUCUUAGUACAAUUUAAUUCUAAAUAUUACCUCAUUUUUGUUUGGGAAAGUGGAGAAAUACAUUACUUCUUUUGAUUUCAAUGGUUUUAGGAAUAAAUAAACAAAGGAUGAAGAAAUGGAUUUAGAGGAUGAUUCAUUUCAUUUCAUUUUCUUUGCGUCACUUGCUAAUGGCCUUAUUAAUUUUAUAUUUUAUUUUUGUUGUCAUCUAGAUUAGAAUCUUGGUCCUGAGUCAAAAAAUUAAGAUUGCAAAUGUUUGUGAGAUUCCUCUGAGCUCUGUCACUUCGAUUAUUGAUGGCUUGAAGAAACUAUAUAUUGAAAAUUUGAAGUCAUUGGAAGUUACCUAUCAAUUUAAUGAUUUUGCUUCUCCUUUGCUGGGGCUCAUAUAGGACUGGAGCCCACAACCGAUAGAUUUAUUGUGGUCAUGAAACAGAAAAUAGAAGGAGAUAAAUAGGACAGAGGAUAGUGCACAGGAAAGGAAGUGAUAAGUAUAAACAAACAUGGUCUAUUUUUCGAAGGUAUUUCCUCUUUCAAAAUUGGUUGUUUUUCGAAGGCAUUCGUAUCUGGAUUUUAUAAACUGAUAUGUGUGCCAUAAUUUUAUAUUUUUUACCAUAAUUUAUGUGCUAAUUUAAUUAUGAUACGAAUGUUAUUUCUUUUUUUUGUUGGCCAUGUUUCGGUUUUUAGGCUUCAUGGUUUUCUCAUCAAUCUAGCAACAUCCUUCUCAAAUCAUGUUUAUGUUGUUUUCUAAGUAUAAGUUGAAAUUAGAAUGAAUUGAAUAUUUAGCUGCCCAUGGUUUCUCAAAUUAUGUUCAUGGUUUUUUACUAUUCUUGGCAAGAUGUCACAAUAGACAUGGAUGCCUAUUAGCACAAGAGAAUAAUUUAUAACAACUUUAUGUACGUGUCAUAUGGGAAAUUUGUUUAUACAUAAAGUUUAAUAUGCUUUAUAAUUUUAAUUGUACAAUAAUAAUAUGUAAUUAAAAAUAAGAGGAGGGGUGUUCCAAGUGCAAUGGUAGAAAAGAGGCGAGGGCCGUGCUUGGCACGGGGUACAUACUAGUGUAUUGUAUAUUACAUCCAUUGAGCAAAUGAGAAAGAAAUUGAACGCAGGAUCUUUACCUUAGGGGUGGCAGUUUUUGACCCGACCCAUCAACCCGACCCGACCCGACCCGUUUAUAUUGGGUAUGAGUCAAGUUA